CUCUCUCUCUCUCUCUAUCUCUCUCUCUCUAUCUGCAUUGCAGCCCCCCUCCUGUAAGUGCUAGGCUGCUGCUGCUGAAAAUUUAGCAACACAAAUGGCGACUCCCAACUCAACCACAACAACACCUUCCUCCUCUUCCUCUUAUUCAUCCUCAUCUUCUACUUCCAGCCGCAGCAGCAGCAUUAACUCGGGAUCUACAGCACAUCAUCACCAGUCCCAGUCUCAGCAUAUAACCACCAUGAGCAGCAUACAGGAGACCAACACAUGCUGGAGGUGUCAGAGUGAUACAGGUAGCUACUGUCCACAUUUCUAGUAGUUAGGAAUGCAAUCAUUCUGUUCUCUGCCGAAUGUAGAACUUCUGUCUUCUGUCCCCCAUUUCUCAUUUUGUUUAGACUUUGUGAAUCUCUGGGUUUCAUUUCACAAAGCAGGAUGACUUCUAACGAAGCUGGACCCACUCUAGUUCCUCUAACCUCACUUCCCCCCCAGUCAUGACAUUUGUGACACCGAUAGCAACAUUUUCAGUUCUUCUGAGCAAUUUUACUGUAAUUUCUGUAAUGAAAUGUUCAGGUGUUUAAGUUUUUUUUAAAGUUACUAAUCCACUGAUCCAAUAACAAGUGAGCAGCACAAUUUACAAGUGUGAACAAGACAUGUUGUUGUUGUUAUUAGAAGGGGUGUCCACAAACUUAUGACUGUAUAGGCUGUGUUCAAACAGCAGGACAAAGUAUCCCAAAUGUAUAGGUGACAGAGAUGUGUUGCUUGUGUGUCAGUAUGCGUUUCAAAAAACACACUGAUUCAGCAGUGAGUCGAGGGCUGAUGACUCUGUUCCAAUUAUAUUAGAAAAUUUGUGUCACAGCUCAAAAAACAAAAUAAAAAAAGAAGUGGGUGUGGCUGAAUAAUGCA
RNAcentral lists this long non-coding RNA (900 nucleotides) under Astyanax mexicanus (Mexican tetra). RNAcentral describes it as "lncRNA (ENSAMXG00005005284.1)". Lineage: Eukaryota; Metazoa; Chordata; Actinopteri; Characiformes; Acestrorhamphidae. The record is from RNAcentral.